UGGGGAAUUUUGGACAAUGGGCGAAAGCCUGAUCCAGCAAUGCCGCGUGUGUGAAGAAGGCCUUCGGGUUGUAAAGCACUUUUGUCCGGAAAGAAAUCCUUGGCUCUAAUACAGUCGGGGGAUGACGGUACCGGAAGAAUAAGCACCGGCUAACUACGUGCCAGCAGCCGCGGUAAUACGUAGGGUGCAAGCGUUAAUCGGAAUUACUGGGCGUAAAGCGUGCGCAGGCGGUUUGCUAAGACCGAUGUGAAAUCCCCGGGCUCAACCUGGGAACUACAUUGGUGACUGGCAGGCUAGAGUAUGGCAGAGGGGGGUAGAAUUCCACGUGUAGCAGUGAAAUGCGUAGAGAUGUGGAGGAAUACCGAUGGCGAAGGCAGCCCCCUGGGCAAUACUGACGCUCAUGCACGAAAAGCGUGGGGGAGCAAACAGGAUUAGAUACCCUGGUAGUCCACGCCCUAAACGAUGUCAACUAGUUGUUGGGGAUUCAUUCCUUAGUAACGUAGCUAACGCGUGAAGUUGACCGCCUGGGGAGUACGGUCGCAAGAUUAAAACUCAAAUGAAUUGACGGGGU
This 571-nucleotide ribosomal RNA is filed under the name uncultured bacterium. RNAcentral's name for it is "partial 16S ribosomal RNA". It matches the Rfam family "Bacterial small subunit ribosomal RNA", at positions 355 to 919 of the family's 1533-position model. The record is from RNAcentral.